This 2112-nucleotide long non-coding RNA is filed under the name Portunus trituberculatus (swimming crab). Its description in RNAcentral is "uncharacterized LOC123514961, transcript variant X2". Lineage: Eukaryota; Metazoa; Arthropoda; Malacostraca; Decapoda; Portunidae. The record is from RNAcentral.
UAGUGGCGCUGGUGUUUAGACCCGACAGAUCGGUAUCCUGUGCCAAUCUUAUCUAUUCCCUUGACUGUGACCCUUAAUUCGUGUUCCAAAGGAGGAGAAUGAAAGUAUGGACCAGUCAGCUUCAUCGCUGCGCAUAUGUAAGGUGGAAUGCUGCUUGGAGGAUGAUGCAGUGGGUCAGACACAACCACAUCAGGACAGGAUGACACAACGGAAUGUGACCAGCUGAUCUGCUGCCAUCACUUCAGAGCCAACAAUAACUUUCUUCAUUUGUAUGAUUGCUUAUUCUAUGAAGGUUACCGAGUGCUUAAUCAAGAAUGGAACGCUGCAAAUGCAUUAAUUUUUCAGAUACUUUCUGUUACAUCUGUGGAGCUUUUACACCUGAAACCUUGAAAAAAUCUAUCACAAAAAAUGUUAAAAAGGCAUACAAACUAUACUUUAAAUGCCCUGUUGGUGAUCAAGACAAGAAAUGGGCACCUCACAUUGCAUGUAAACCCUGUGUGAAUCAUUUGAAUGAAUGGAUGCAUGGUAAAAGGCCUUUUGCUGUACCAAUCAAUGGUUUGGCGUGAACAAAAAGAUCAUUCUUCUGACUGCUACUUCUGCCUCACUAAUACCAAAGGUUAUUCUGUGAAAACUCAAUUUAAGAUUAAGUAUCCAGAUGUGCCAUCUGCUCACAGACCAGUUCCUCAUAGUCCUGAGUUACCAGUUCCCAAACCUCCAUUAGGUAGCCAAAGUGAGUGAGUGGUGAAUGCAUGGAUACUGACUUUCAAGAUGUAGAGAGAAAGGAACCCCAUCUUAUUAGUCAAGAAGAGUUGCAUGACCUUGUAAGACAAGAGUGAACUACUAGGAUCCAGACUCAAGCAAUGGAAUUUGCUGUAAGGAGGAGUUCACACUACCACUUUCCGCCAAAGGCAUGAGAAGCUCUCUCAGUAUUUCAAAAUGGAUGACAAACUUUGUUACUGCUAUGAUGUUGUGUCACUAAUGGAACAUCUUUGUAAGUCUCAUGCUUAUGAAAAAGAUGAGUGGAGGUUAUUUAUUGAUUCUGGAAAGGAUACAUUGAAGGCAGUUCUUCUCCACAAUGGUAAUGAAUUACCUUCUGUUCCAAUUGCUCACGCACAUGGAAUGAGUGAAAGUUAUGAAACUAUGAAGACACUGUUGUCUGCAGUUGACUGUAAGAUCCAUCAAUGGAACAUCUGUGGAGACCUAAAGGUGAUCUCUUUGCUUCUUGGAUUGCAACAAGGCUACACAAAGCACAUGUGUUUCCUUUGUCUAUGGGAUAGCAGAUCAGACACUAAACAUUAUAUAAAGGGAAUGGCCAGAGACCAAAAGACUUAGUUGGGAAGUUUAACUGUCUUAACAAAAGUCUUGUUGACCCUGAAGAGGUGUUUUUAUCACCACUUCACUUGAAACUCGGAUUAAUGAAGAACUUUGUGAAAGCCAUGGAUCAAGAUGGUGAUGGUUUUCAUUAUUUGGUGACAAAGUUCAAAGGUAUUUUAUCUGAUGCUAAAGUAAAGGCAGGUGUUUUUAAUGGUCCCCAAAUUCGUCUUAUACUGAAUGACCAAGACUUUAGAAAUGCACUAUCAGAGUUAGAAAUGGCUGCUUGGGAUAGCUUUGUGGUUUUUACAAAGUCUUUUUUAGGAAAUUUUAGAGCUCCAAAUUAUGAAGAGCUUGUUGACGAACUGCUGAAGUUACCAAGAGUUUGGUGCUCGAAUGUCACUUAAGAUACAUUUCUUUCUUUCUCACCUGGAUUUCUUUCCAAAGAACCUGGGUGAAGUCAGCGAUGAGCAUGGAGAAAGAUUCCACCAGGAAAUUGCCAUCAUGGAAACUUGAUAUCAAGGUCAAUUCAAUCCGAAUAUGAUGGGUGACUAUUGUUGGACUUUACAGCGAGAAAGUGAUAGUUCCUCGUAAAGUUGAGAAAGUGAUAGUUCCUCAUACAAACGCAAAAGUCAAGUUCAAAAACACUUUUGAUAUGUAUUGUAUCAUUAAUUAUGGUUUGUUUGUGUCUAUUUUCAUAUCUUCAGUUUAUUAAAAUAAAAAUAUUAUUGGCCUAUAUGUAUACUUCUACCAAAAAGUAGGCUUAUGCUGUACUGGAACAAUGGUAGGUGACAGAGUUUU